CUUCACCUUUCAAGGAAUUAUUUAACAGUGGGCCCAGUGACUUGAUAUUGCCCAAACCUUUUUAUUUUACAGAAUAAGCUCCAAGACACUAACUGAUCUACUGUGAAAUAUAAAAUGUUUUUAUUAGCCUUAUCAAAUAAAUGAGCACAGUUCUUUGCCCACUGCAUUAAACUGGGUGAUAAUUCUUUAGAUGUAAAUAUUAGGUAAGUUCUACUGUAAUAACUAAUUGUAAAACUUGUAAAUUUGUUUAAUGGAUGCAAUGUACACUUAUUGUAUUCUGUACAGCUUUGUCUUUUUUGAAUAUGAAGUACUUAAAUGCACUAUGAUAGAAAAUAUGUGUGCCUUCUAGGAUUGUGAAAUGGUUUCAUGAACUUUAAAGGAAUUUUUUUUAUAAGUUAUAAAGUUUUCCCAAUCCUAACUCAAUAACAAAGAGUUUACUCAUAAUGCUGUAGAACUUUAGUUUGAGAAAAUGAACUUGACUGUGUACUGAAUUUAAAGGUUGAGAGUAAUAGUAUCUGCUUUAUUCUUAGGACAAACUGAUAAAUUGUGCAAUAAAUAAUCUUUAGCAAAUAAAUUUUAGCUAAUUGAUGAGUUUUUUUCUUAUGUAAUUUCACAUUCUUAUACACUAAAUAUUUAUAUUCUUUAUAGAAGUAUUUUAUAUUGUGCUCUAGGGGUUGUGAUGUUUGUGCACUAUGUUUUAAAAUUUAUUUCAAAUUGGACUCAAUUUUGUUACAUCCAAUAUAUGUCUGUGUAAUAGGUCUGCUUGAAAAUAUCUUUUGGUUCAGUGAUUAUUAACAUUAGGAAGUUGGAUUCAUUAAAAAGCAGUUGGAAGAAUUUGUAUUUUUAACUUCUCUUUUUUAUAUCUUAAUCAAGCUUACUUUUUGUAGGAAUAAGAAAACUACUUGGAGAUAAGCAAGAUCAGCUAAUCACCCACAUUUAUGAUGGGCAAAACAAUGACAAUAUUAAUAUAAACAGACUUUCAUUUGUUUUUAUGUCUUUCUACACUAUUGGACAGUAAAAAUAAUCGAUUAUAUACUCCACCCUGUGGUAGUUUGAUGAUUACCUUGUAAAGUUUUUCCAAGAUAUAAGAAUGUAAUUAGAUAAGUAUCUUAGCAUCUUAGUGCUAAGAAGACAAAGGACGUUUAUAAGAGGGAGUGGCAGUUUAUUAUUAAAUUUACUGAUGCAUAGUAUCAUCAUAUUAUGGAGAAAUAUACACAUUUUGGUAUCAAAUGACAUAAAAGCCUCCUCAGAUAUAUUUUGAUAAUCUUGCAGCUGUUUGAAGUAUUACACUCUGUCAUCCUCUACCUUUUUAAUAAAAUAUUUAUUCUUUAGAGUUUAA
This is a long non-coding RNA of Galeopterus variegatus (Sunda flying lemur), 1339 nucleotides long. RefSeq lists it as uncharacterized. The transcript has 2 exons. The record is from RefSeq and is a predicted model, not a curated record. Lineage: Eukaryota; Metazoa; Chordata; Mammalia; Dermoptera; Cynocephalidae.